CCUGGGAGGCAGCAGUGGGGAAUAUUGCACAAUGGGGGGAACCCUGAUGCAGCGACGCCGCGUGGGUGAAGGAGUAUUUCGGCAUGUAAAGCCCUAUCAGCAGGGAAGAAUAAUGACGGUACCUGACUAAGAAGCACCGGCUAAAUACGUGCCAGCAGCCGCGGUAAUACGUAUGGUGCAAGCGUUAUCCGGAUUUACUGGGUGUAAAGGGAGCGCAGGCGGCGCGUUAAGCCUGGUGUGAAAGCCCGCGGCCCAACCGCGGGACUGCAUUGGGAACUGGCGCGCUGGAGUGCCGGCGGGGUAGG
This 305-nucleotide ribosomal RNA is filed under the name uncultured bacterium. RNAcentral describes it as "bacterial SSU rRNA". It matches the Rfam family "Bacterial small subunit ribosomal RNA", at positions 338 to 661 of the family's 1533-position model. The record is from RNAcentral.